RNAcentral lists this ribosomal RNA (537 nucleotides) under Bipolaris sp. P2E3. RNAcentral describes it as "eukaryotic LSU rRNA". The stretch from base 168 to 321 matches the Rfam family "5.8S ribosomal RNA". Lineage: Eukaryota; Fungi; Ascomycota; Dothideomycetes; Pleosporales; Pleosporaceae. The record is from RNAcentral.
CAUUACACAAUAAAAUACGAAGGCCGUUCGCGGCUGGACUAUUUAUUACCCUUGUCUUUUGCGCACUUGUUGUUUCCUGGGCGGGUUCGCUCGCCACCAGGACCACAAUAUAAACCUUUUUUAUGCAGUUGCAAUCAGCGUCAGUAUAACAAAUGUAAAUCAUUUACAACUUUCAACAACGGAUCUCUUGGUUCUGGCAUCGAUGAAGAACGCAGCGAAAUGCGAUACGUAGUGUGAAUUGCAGAAUUCAGUGAAUCAUCGAAUCUUUGAACGCACAUUGCGCCCUUUGGUAUUCCAAAGGGCAUGCCUGUUCGAGCGUCAUUUGUACCCUCAAGCUUUGCUUGGUGUUGGGCGUUUUUUGUCCCCCCCAAAAAGGGGACUCGCCUUAAAAGGAUUGGCAGCCGGCCUACUGGUUUCGCAGCGCAGCACAUUUUUGCGCUUGCAAUCAGCAAAAGAGGACGGCAAUCCAUCAAGACUCCUUCUCACGUUUGACCUCGGAUCAGGUAGGGAUACCCGCUGAACUUAAGCAUAUCAAUA